Molecule: ribosomal RNA, 301 nt
Filed under: uncultured bacterium
Lineage: Bacteria
Description: partial 16S ribosomal RNA
Rfam family: Bacterial small subunit ribosomal RNA
Source: RNAcentral
CAGUCGCCGCGGGAAUACAGAGGGUGCAAGCGUUAAUCGGAUUUACUGAGCGUAAAGGGCGCGUAGGUGGUUAUUUAAGUGAGAUGUGAAAGCCCCGGGCUUAACCUGGGAACUGCAUCUUAUACUGGGUAACUGGAGUGCAGUAGAGGGUAGUGGAAUUUCCGGUGUAGCGGUGAAAUGCGUAGAUAUCGGAAGGAACACCAGUGGCGAAGGCGGCUACCUGGACUGAGACUGACACUGAGGCGCGAGAGCGUGGGGAGCAAACAGGAUUAGAUACCCCCGUAGUCCCUGUCUCUUAUAC